AGAGCAACUAACCAGGAUUCCCCCAGUAACGGCGAGCGAAGAGGGAAGUGCUCGAGCCGGCAAUCUCUGGCGUACUGCGCCAGCGAAUUGUGGCCUGGUGAGGCGGAUGCACCCGACGCGCCUCCGCCGAAGUUGACCUGGAAAGGCACGUCGGAGAGGGUGAUAACCCCGUUUGGGGCGGAGGCGCCGAGGGCCGCUGCCGUCGUCGGAGAGUCGGGUUGUUUGGGAUUGCAGCCCAAAGUGGGUGGUAAACUCCACCUAAAGCCGAACAGCGGCACGAGACCGAUAGCGAACAAGUACCGUGAGGGAAAGGUGAAAAGCACUUUGGAAAGAGAGUUAAAGAGACCGCGAAACCGUUAGGAGGGAAAACGCGUGGAGCCGAACGGGUCUCCGUCGGGUUCACGGGGCCGCGUCGUCGGUUUCGCCUCCGUCGCUCCUCUCCGGGGGGCGCGUCGGGCGGCGUGGCGUCUUCGCUCCCCUGCACUCUCGACGUCGGGGCCGGCCAAGUGCGGUGGUGUCCCGGGCGAAGAGGGCGGUCGGGUAGGUGGUGCAGCCGGUCCGUUUACGCGGCCGGAGGCGAGCUUAUAGCCGUCCGUUCGGCGUCGCCCUGGGGCCAUCGAGGAGAGCCGUGGCUCCGUCACCCACACAGCGCAGGCCCCUCUCGCGAGGGGCCGGGGCGCUUCUGUCCGUUCAGCCUCCGUGCCGAGAGACUGCCCGCGGUGUCCGGCGUCGGUGCGCGAGUCCGGGCGGGAGGUCGUCCCACGCCCUGCGCUUCGGCGGCUUGGCCAG
RNAcentral lists this ribosomal RNA (789 nucleotides) under Acanthotetilla walteri. RNAcentral's name for it is "eukaryotic LSU rRNA". The stretch from base 1 to 307 matches the Rfam family "Eukaryotic large subunit ribosomal RNA", at positions 56 to 358 of the family's 3401-position model. The record is from RNAcentral. Lineage: Eukaryota; Metazoa; Porifera; Demospongiae; Tetractinellida; Tetillidae.